GAUGAACGCUGGCGGCGUGCCUAAUACAUGCGAGUCGAGCGAACAGAUAAGGAGCUUGCUCCUUUGACGUUAGCGGCGGACGGGUGAGUAACACGUGGGUAACCUAUCUAUAAGACUGGAAUAACUCCGGGAAACCGGGGCUAAUGCCGGAUAACAUUUUGAACCGCAUGGUUCUACAGUGAAAGGCGGCUUUGCUGUCACUUAUAGAUGGACCCGCGCCGUAUUAGCUAGUUGGUGAGGUAACGGCUCACCAAGGCAACGAUACGUAGCCGACCUGAGAGGGUGAUCGGCCACACUGGAACUGAGACACGGUCCAGACUCCUACGGGAGGCAGCAGUAGGGAAUCUUCCGCAAUGGGCGAAAGCCUGACGGAGCAACGCCGCGUGAGUGAUGAAGGUCUUCGGAUCGUAAAACUCUGUUAUUAGGGAAGAACAAAUGCGUAAGUAACUGUGCGCGUCUUGACGGUACCUAAUCAGAAAGCCACGGCUAACUACGUG
RNAcentral lists this ribosomal RNA (497 nucleotides) under uncultured bacterium. RNAcentral describes it as "partial 16S ribosomal RNA". It matches the Rfam family "Bacterial small subunit ribosomal RNA", at positions 28 to 507 of the family's 1533-position model. The record is from RNAcentral.